UGUGACACAGGGAGAGCACCGGUGACCUUGUCCAUGUUAACAAAAUCCAUUUGUUAACAGAAUACGCUAUACACAAGAAGAGUAAUGAUGAUGAGUUGGAGGCUACAGUCUAACUUUGUGGAGUUGGUCCAAACUCUGCUGGGAGACCCUUCUGAGAGGGAGCACUUCUUCAGGAGGUAUUCCCAGUACAUUACGGCCCUCGGCAUGACACAGCACUGCAGGUACUGGUGUGGGAGUUCCGGGAGACCCAUGGGGCAGCGCACAAUUGGCCCAGUGUCAUCCGGGUUAGGGGAGGGUUUGGCCAGCAGGAAUGUUCUUGUCUCAUCACGCUCUAGCGACUCCAAUGCACACUGACACAAUCGCCAGGUGCACAGUGUUUCCUCCGACACAUUGGUGCGCCUGGCGUCCUUCGCCUCACCCAAGUCCGUACGGGAGUUGCAGCAAUGGGACAAGACUGACUACCAAUUGGAUACCACGAAAUUGGGGAAAAAGAGAUGGGGGAAAAAAAUAUAAAAAAGUAUUGAGUGCUGAUCACUGUUUAAAAAAAAUGUUGGACUGAGGACUAUGGUGAGCUGAAGGAAAACAUCUACCCAAUACGCAAGGCUCUGGCAUGCAGAGAAGGAACAAUACAAAUUAUACAGUGUUGAAUUCAAUGUAAAAUCUAAAGCAUUGAAAAACACUGAAAUGUAAUCGAUUACAAAUUUAUGCAGCACCACCACCAGCAUCAUGGAAACCUGAAAAAGACUAAGUCUCCAUCCAGAAUUAUGUAUUUGAUUUCUCGAAUGAUAAUUCAUUCAUCUGGACUUCUUAAGCAAUCUGGGCUCCUAAUUUUGGCAUUGCAGGUUUGAAUAGUGACAUGGCAUCCCAGGUCCUUUCUCUCUGCACAUUCUCUCAUAUUAUGGUAAAACUCCACCAGCACAUCAGGAUUAAGCAUGGCGGUGAAGACAGGAAUCUUCUACGCUUUAAAGAAUCUGGGACUGAAAGCACCAUUCCUCAAGAAGCACAAAACUCCCCCAGCGUAUCAGCACUAGGCACCAAAGGAAGAACUGGAAGCGCCUCAACUCUAAAGAAUCUGGGAAUGAUAAUUCCCGUCCCACACGCAGCACAAAACUACUUCACCAGCACAUCAGGACUAGGCACCAAGGGGAUGAAUGGAUGAAAGUGUCAUCACUCUGAAGAAUCUGGGACGGAAAACCUUCACUCAAGCACAAAAAUGAUCCCCUAUAGACCCGAUAACAUGACUCUUUAAGUUGCCCUCAUUGUGGGAAUGUUUACCAAAACCUCAACUCCCUGGAAAAACGUCAAGUGGAUAAAUUAGGAAUAGCAAGUCUGUGAGAACAUGACAUUACCUGCAAGCCCAGAAUUUCAUCUAUGGACUGGUCAGGCUCCAUGGUGCUGCAUGAUGCCUUUAAAGCCUGUGGACUGCCAUCACUACAAGUAGAGAGAAAGAAACACAUGUACAGGGAAAUUCUCUGUGACUGUCUCUUCACUCUGGGGCUCAGCUGUCAGGCUACUGGCCGCCAUGUUGGUUCUUCCAGUCCCACCAGAU
Molecule: long non-coding RNA, 1549 nt
Organism: Oncorhynchus masou masou (cherry salmon)
Lineage: Eukaryota; Metazoa; Chordata; Actinopteri; Salmoniformes; Salmonidae
Exons: 5
Source: RefSeq, a predicted model, not a curated record